This 325-nucleotide unclassified non-coding RNA is filed under the name Exophiala sp. RNAcentral describes it as "partial contains 5.8S ribosomal RNA, internal transcribed spacer 2, and large subunit ribosomal RNA". The stretch from base 1 to 71 matches the Rfam family "5.8S ribosomal RNA", at positions 84 to 154 of the family's 154-position model. The record is from RNAcentral. Lineage: Eukaryota; Fungi; Ascomycota; Eurotiomycetes; Chaetothyriales; Herpotrichiellaceae.
GUGAAUCAUCGAAUCUUUGAACGCACAUUGCGCCCUUUGGUAUUCCGAAGGGCAUGCCUGUUCGAGCGUCAUUAUCACCCCUCAAGCCCCCCGGCUUGGUGUUGGACGGUUUGGUGGAGGCCCCCUCGCGGAGCCACCGCCCCUCCCAAAGACAAUGACGGCGGCCUCGUUGGACCCCCGGUACACUGAGUUCUUCACGGGACACGUAUCGGACACAUGGGUUUACGGGACACGGUCUGCCUCCCCUCAGGGAGAAUCUUUCUAAGGUUGACCUCGGAUCAGGUAGGGAUACCCGCUGAACUUAAGCAUAUCAAUAAGCGGAGGA